This is a long non-coding RNA of Melanaphis sacchari, 1650 nucleotides long. RefSeq lists it as uncharacterized. The transcript has 4 exons. The record is from RefSeq and is a predicted model, not a curated record. Lineage: Eukaryota; Metazoa; Arthropoda; Insecta; Hemiptera; Aphididae.
CUCUGAUGUGCGAAAGAGUUUAAUUUCUUAAAACAUAUUAUUGUUAUUGCUUUUAUUUAUUAUUAUUUGUAUACAUUCAUAUUAUGUUUUCAAAUACGUCAGUUUUACGAGUUAUUACACCUCGAAUCAUAGUGCCUACUGCCUAGUUCUUUUUUUGAUGGCAAAUCAAAAAAAUGCUUUAAGAAAAUUGUGUGAUGUAUCUUUUUACAACAGCCAAACACGUCAAACAGUUCCACUUACCGCAGUUGUGAGAACACCUUGAAUUUCAGUUUCUUACUUUGCCUAACAAAUCUGCAACUAGUAUUCAUCUCUAGCUUGUGGAAACCUAUGGAUCCAAGGUGAUGACACGUGGGUGUGUCACUAUACUCCAGAGUCUUAAAGGCAGUCUCUAAAGUGGCACUAUACCCAUUUACCACCAAUCAAAAAAUUUAAAAUCAAAUUUUUAGAAAUAAAAAUCAUAGAAUCUGCCUUUUGGGACUGAAAAGGGAUAUUAUUUGUCAAUUUUAUGGCUAAAAUACCACCAUAAAUGCAUACUGUGAGUCACUUUGGAAGUUGAGAAAAAAAAAUCAAUGACAAAAAAAGACUCUUGGUAUGUCACUCCUUCAUGACAAUGCCAGAUCUUAUACCGCCCGUCUCACUCAGGACCUGUUUAUUUCAUUUGGGUGGGAUAUUGUGACUCAUCCACUUUACUCGCUAGACCUGGUACCAUCGAAUUGUCAUCUUUUCAAUAAAUUAAUGGAGUUAUUAGGUGGACAUUGAUUUUCAAAUGACUAAGAGGUUCAGGAUGCUGUCGAAAAGUGGUUUCGGAAGGUGGAGCGUUUUAAAAAAAGAAGAUACUAGAAAUAUAUUUAUGCCAACAGAAUUUAAUCAAAAAAAAAUAUAAUAGAUGCUGCAGUAAAUUUAAUUUUUCCCAAUGGUCAGUCAACCAAAGGUCUCAAAUAUUUAAUUUUCAAAUUGAUUUAUUUGAAUUCAAAAAAACUUCAUUCAUGCAAAAUAUUACUAUUUCAAUACUUUUUUCAAAAUACAAGAUUAAAAUCAUCGAGGUUCUACUUAGCAACUAAAGCAAAUUAUCUUUAUCGUGUAACACCAGUUAUAUAUCUGUAACAACUAUUAAAGAUAAUUCAAGUCUCUUUCAGCAAGAGCCUUACUGACUACUGUGGAACAUUUAACUACAAAUAGCUCUUCUGAUAUUCAUAACUUUUAAAAUCAGAUUUACCUAAUCAAUUCUACAUCAAAAAAAAUAUUUUCAAAAGUUAUUAGACGCUAUUGAAAACAUUGAUAAUAACUUUUAGUUUUAUUACUAUUGAAUUUAUAUUACCAAAUAGGUAACCAAAAAAUGCAAUAGAUGCAGGUGGUAUUUAAAAAUAUGUUCUCAGUAAAUAAUUGGAUUGUUUUUAUGAGACUUUAAUUGCAGAAACAUCUUCAAAAAUACCGUGUUUGCAGUAUGGCUUAAUAAGUUGAUAGCGAAGAACAAUUACAAUAAUAUUUUGCUGUAAAACUUUUACCAUCCUUUUUUUGAACAAUUAAUUGGACAUACUUUAUUUGAUUUGAAGUAUUUUUACAGACAAAUUGUGAAACUGAUAGGAAUAUUUUAUCAAACACAUUAAAUAUUUAUACAGAUAAACUGAUGAAUAUUUUAUAUGAUUUAGA